Ailuropoda melanoleuca (giant panda) is the source of this 104-nucleotide small nuclear RNA. Lineage: Eukaryota; Metazoa; Chordata; Mammalia; Carnivora; Ursidae. The record is from Ensembl.
GUGCUCACUUUGGCAGCACGCAUACUAAAAUUGGAAUGAUACAGAGAUUAGCAUGGCCCCUGAGCAAGGAUGACACACAAAUUUGUAAAGUGUUCCAUAUUUAA